GGCGCCGCUGAGGCAGGUGCCUCUGGUGCUUCUGCCGCCACUGAAGCCGCUGGUUCGGGUGCUGCUGCUGCCUC
Molecule: transfer RNA, 74 nt
Filed under: Candidozyma auris
Lineage: Eukaryota; Fungi; Ascomycota; Pichiomycetes; Serinales; Metschnikowiaceae
Description: [Candida] auris tRNA-Arg
Source: RNAcentral